This 229-nucleotide ribosomal RNA is filed under the name uncultured bacterium. Its description in RNAcentral is "partial 16S ribosomal RNA". It matches the Rfam family "Bacterial small subunit ribosomal RNA", at positions 568 to 796 of the family's 1533-position model. The record is from RNAcentral.
CAGACAGGCGGUUCUGUGUGUCCUCUGUGAAAGCCCUCGGCUCAACCGAGGAAUUGCAGGGGAAACUGCGGGACUUGAGUCCGGGAGAGGCUAGUGGAAUUCCCAGUGUAGCGGUGAAAUGCGUAGAUAUUGGGAGGAACACCAGUGGCGAAGGCGGCUAGCUGGACCGGUACUGACGCUGAACUGCGAAAGCUAGGGGAGCGAACAGGAUUAGAUACCCUGGUAGUCC